RNAcentral lists this long non-coding RNA (1187 nucleotides) under Phascolarctos cinereus (koala). RNAcentral describes it as "lncRNA (ENSPCIG00000019454.2)". The record is from RNAcentral. Lineage: Eukaryota; Metazoa; Chordata; Mammalia; Diprotodontia; Phascolarctidae.
CAAAGUUCUGUGUAAAUUCCCCACAGAGGCAGGUGUCACAGUUUCCCUGUAGAGGAUUUUUAGAAGGCUGCUCUCCAGAGAUUGCUCACUGCCUUUGUGCCUGGUGUUGUGACUAGGGUGGUAUAAGUUCCCUCACAGUUCCCAAGUGCUUCUAGAAGUUGUUAGUGAGCUUUGAACUCCCUUGUGGCUCUUCUGCAGUUGCCCCCAACAAGGGAACCCAGGAAGUAGAAAGUCAUCUCCCAGCACAAUGAACACCACUGAUAAAGAAAACUCAUCUGACCUUACAGAAAUAGAAGAUACAUCAGAGAUAAUAGAAUCAUCAAAGACAGAGGAUAUUGCUGAUGCCACACAGAACGUGGUGAAUGCCGAGAAAAAUUCAUUUUUUUGCCCGCUCUCAAAAUUGCUUUUAUCAGCUGACGCUUUGAUAAAGGAAAACGAAAAAAUCCAUAACUUAAGAAAACAUGAUAUUUCCAUUACAGAAGCAAAGAACUAUCUUCUUCAAGUCUUAAACAUCAUAUCACUAGAAACACUGAGUCAUAGAGUGCCAACAGAGUUUGCUCAGCCUAUUGCUUUCAAAGGCAAGUGUCAUAUUUCUGACCCAAAAGAAAUGAUUAAAAUCCUACACCGCACCUUAUUAGCAAUUAAUGGACCAGGAACAUUAACUGAAAACCGCUCAAUGCCUUCCAGAGCAAUUGCCUUGAUGAACAAAAUUUCCCUGCCAAUGCACAUUUUUCCUUAUGAGAUGCUUGCCCAUCAUUGUCUCCCUUUCUUGUUACCUUUCCUAAUAAGAGAUGACAUUCUGAAUGAGAAGAUUUUCUGUAGGAUAGUCCUUUUCAACAUCGUUCUUCCCAAAGGGAAAGUCUUCAGGCCGCAAGCAAAGAGACAAAAACAUUAUGAAAAAUUGCUCCAUCCAGAAAAACAAUUCAUGGAUCUGAAAGACCUCCAGCGGAAAUAUUAUAAGGGCAUUUUGAAGUGGAAACGAAAGUCCCGGAUGCUGUUCAAAGACCCAUCUUUUGUUAUUGAAAAGGCAUUUGUACCAGAAAUGAUCUCACUUGAUUAUAAACCCACCGUCAUUUUUAAGCUGGUCAGAAGUACUGAUUUUAAUUCACCAUAAAGAGUGGGUUGUUUGUAUUAAGUAGAAUCUUACAUUAAAUAAAACAAUGCACAUCUAUGAUGAUGAUUUUUUC